This 251-nucleotide ribosomal RNA is filed under the name uncultured prokaryote. Its description in RNAcentral is "partial 16S rRNA". It matches the Rfam family "Bacterial small subunit ribosomal RNA", at positions 525 to 775 of the family's 1533-position model. The record is from RNAcentral.
ACGGAGGGUGCAAGCGUUAUUCGGAAUUACUGGGCGUAAAGCGCGUGUAGGCGGUCCUGCAAGUCUGAUGUGAAAGCCCCGGGCUUAACCCGGGAAGUGCAUUGGAAACUGCAGGUCUUGAGUACUGGAGAGGAUGGGGGAAUUCCCGGUGUAGAGGGGAAAGUCGUAGAGAUCGGGGGGAAUAGCAGUGGCGAAGGCGACCAGCGGGACGGUAACUCAGGCUGAUCCGCGAAAGUGAGGGGAGGAAACAG